GACGAACGCUGGCGGCGUGCUUAACACAUGCAAGUCGAACGAAACACCUUAUUUGAUUUUCUUCGGAACUGAAGAUUUGGUGAUUGAGUGGCGGACGGGUGAGUAACGCGUGGGUAACCUGCCCUGUACAGGGGGAUAACAGUCAGAAAUGACUGCUAAUACCGCAUAAGACGACAGCACCGCAUGGUGCAGGGGUAAAAACUCCGGUGGUACAGGAUGGACCCGCGUCUGAUUAGCUGGUUGGUGAGGUAACGGCUCACCAAGGCGACGAUCAGUAGCCGGCUUGAGAGCGUGAACGGCCACAUUGGGACUGAGACACGGCCCAAACUCCUACGGGAGGCAGCAGUGGGGAAUAUUGCACAAUGGGGGAAAACCUGAUGCAGCGACGCCGCGUGAGUGAAGAAGUAUUUCGGUAUGUAAAGCUCUAUCAGCAGGGAAGAAAAUGACGGUACCUGACUAAGAAGCCCCGGCUAACUACGUG
This 481-nucleotide ribosomal RNA is filed under the name uncultured bacterium. RNAcentral's name for it is "partial 16S ribosomal RNA". It matches the Rfam family "Bacterial small subunit ribosomal RNA", at positions 28 to 507 of the family's 1533-position model. The record is from RNAcentral.